AUAGUGAAAGACUAAAAUAAAUCAAAAUUUAUCUUAUAAAAUCAGAGAAUCCCUAGAUCUAAGAUCCUAUUACAUGAUUAUUACAUGGCAUUAAAUUAGAAAUUAAAAUAUAAAGAGCAAGAACUACAUGUUGAUCAUAUCAACAUGUUUCUAUACUACAUCUAAUGUAUGUAAAAUAUAAUAGAUCAGAUCUAUUACCUUGCAAGUUAGACGUUCUAACUUUGCUGAUUCGGACUUGAGAAUGAUAUUGCGAGCCGCACAUGCGUCUGACCUCUAGGAGUCAUCCACACAAGCCCACG
This 299-nucleotide long non-coding RNA is filed under the name Elaeis guineensis (African oil palm). RNAcentral's name for it is "long non-coding RNA (EGUI_LNC068015)". Lineage: Eukaryota; Viridiplantae; Streptophyta; Magnoliopsida; Arecales; Arecaceae. The record is from RNAcentral.